GCCCAAUUAUCUCAUUGCUGAACAAAAGUAAACUAGGGUCAAAGAAUGGCUCUUUACCACCAAGUCAAAGAAAAUAAGUUUAAUCAGUACAUUUGACAUGAUGAUUCCCACAAAGAAACAUGGCUAUUUGGGCCCUAGGUAAAAAGUCUGAUCCAACCUCCCACAUUGCCUCACUGACUCACUGCCCCCCUCCCUCCCUGGGCUCCUUUUAGUCCUUGUGUAGAACUGAUUCUUUUGCCUUUCUCUAUCCCUAACCCACACCAGGGGAUGGAAACUUCCAGAGACUAGAAGUCAAGGAUAAGUUUGACCAGCUUAAUCCUGACCAUCUGCCACCACCACUACUGUGUUCCCAAGGAAAGGACAGAUUGCAAGGUAGAAGUUAUGCAUUACCUCAAUUUGGAAGAAAAAUUAGAGGCACAGCUUUCAAAACUGUGCAAAUUGAAAUGGCAAAAGGACCACCACUCCUCACCCCCAUUUGUCUCCUGCUGCAUCCCAUUAACAGAGAAUUGGAGUUCGUGCCAGCCUCGAUUCCGAUGUAAGCCAAUGCAAUGCAUUCCACAUUGUAUGGGCUUAAUAAAUGCUUUUUUUCAAAUGGAAUGGCAUCUAUAGAAUACUGAGUGCCUUACACAGUGCUAAGAACCUCAGAGGCCAUUUAAUUUUAC
This 662-nucleotide long non-coding RNA is filed under the name Monodelphis domestica (gray short-tailed opossum). RNAcentral's name for it is "lncRNA (ENSMODG00000033388.2)". The record is from RNAcentral. Lineage: Eukaryota; Metazoa; Chordata; Mammalia; Didelphimorphia; Didelphidae.